GACGAACGCUGGCGGCGUGCUUAACACAUGCAAGUCGAACGGAAAGGCCCUGCUUGCAGGGUGCUCGAGUGGCGAACGGGUGAGUAACACGUGGGUGAUCUGCCCCUUACUUUGGGUUAAGCCUGGGAAACUGGGUCUAAUACUGGAUAGGACCAUGCUGUAGGUGGUGUGGUGGAAAGAUUAGUUUCGGUAAGGGAUGAGCUCGCGGCCUAUCAGCUUGUUGGUGGGGUAAUGGCCUACCAAGGCGUCGACGGGUAGCCGGCCUGAGAGGGUGGACGGCAACAUUGGGACUGAGAUACGGCGCAGACUCCUACGGGAGGCAGCAGUGGGGAAUAUUGCACAAUGGGCGCAAGCCUGAUGCAGCGAAGCCGCGUGGGGGAUGACGGCCUUCGGGUUGUAAACUCCUUUCAGCCAUGACGAAGCCCUUGUGGUGACGGUAGUGGUAGAAGAAGCACCGGCUAACUACGUG
RNAcentral lists this ribosomal RNA (469 nucleotides) under uncultured bacterium. RNAcentral describes it as "partial 16S ribosomal RNA". It matches the Rfam family "Bacterial small subunit ribosomal RNA", at positions 28 to 507 of the family's 1533-position model. The record is from RNAcentral.